AUACCAGCACCCCGAGUGGUCGGGACGAUUAUUGGGCCUAAAGCAUCCGUAGCCGGUACUGCAAGUCUUCCGUUAAAUCCACCUGCUUAACAGUUGGGCUGCGGGGGAUACUACAGCGCUAGGAGGCGGGAGAGGCAAGCGGUACUCAAUGGGUAGGGGUAAAAUCCGCUGAUCAAUUGAAGACCACCAGUGGCGAAGGCGGCUUGCCGGAACGCGCUCGACGGUGAGGGAUGAAAGCUGGGGGAGCAAACCGGAUUAGAUACCCGGGUAGUCCCAGCUGUAAACGAUGCAGACUCGGUGAUGGGCUGGCCUUGUGCCAGCCCAGUGCCGCAGGGAAGCCGUUAAGUUUGCCGCCUGGGAAGUACGGUCGCAAGACUGAAACUUAAAUGAAUUGGCGGGG
Molecule: ribosomal RNA, 400 nt
Filed under: uncultured bacterium
Lineage: Bacteria
Description: partial 16S ribosomal RNA
Rfam family: Archaeal small subunit ribosomal RNA
Source: RNAcentral